Molecule: ribosomal RNA, 546 nt
Filed under: Triticum aestivum (bread wheat)
Lineage: Eukaryota; Viridiplantae; Streptophyta; Magnoliopsida; Poales; Poaceae
Description: partial small subunit ribosomal RNA
Source: RNAcentral
AUGGAUGAGAGUGAUUGUAUUAUUGUCAAUUUUCCUGAUGUUUGUGUUGAUUUGAACGCUUUAUUUGAUGCAUUUUGUUCCCCAAUUGCAGAAAAGAAAAACAGAGCAUCAUGGACCACUGCUCAAUUAGACCUUCUAGUUUCUGUGAUGAAAGAGUAUGCAGAUGCUGCUAAAUUUCGUGGUCAGAAUGGAUGGACCAAAGAAGGAUGGAAAAGCAUGGCUACACGCUUGAACAAUCAGUUCCCGAGAGCUAAUUUUAUUGUUGAUCAACUAAAAUUUAGGGAGCAGCGGUUGAAGAAAGAAUAUUUUAUUGUCAAAUCUAUUGUAGAGAAGAGUGGCUUCGGUUUUGAUCCUAUUACAAAAAUGCCAACAACCAUUCCAGAAAAAUGGGAUGAAUUGAGCAAAGAACAACAGAAGUGGAGAUACAAAGCUUUCCCUUAGUAUGAUGAUUUGCAUGCAAUUUAUGAUGGUAAAUCAGCGGAGGGGAAGGAUUGUAAGAGGACAACCUGUAAGGAUGGAAGUGUGAAUACGUUGGCGCUUGGUUGA